Molecule: long non-coding RNA, 566 nt
Organism: Uranotaenia lowii
Lineage: Eukaryota; Metazoa; Arthropoda; Insecta; Diptera; Culicidae
Exons: 3
Source: RefSeq, a predicted model, not a curated record
UGGUGGCAAACAAAGACGAAAAAACUGACAGAAUCGUGCAUGAAAUGCAAUCAAGUUGUCAGCAGCGCAACUGUUUUCCCGGAUUUUUAUGGCCGGGAUACCGUAUACGAAAUGGACGAGAACCGGAAUUGUCUCCCGGCUAGGGUGCUGCAAUGUUCAGGGGACUUCGUCAAAGCGCCGGCUGAUGGCGAAUCGCCCUAGAACAACAUCCAAGGACUGGUUGAACAGGAAUAUGUAAGCCAGUUCCGGUUCCGCAGGAAGAAGCCGCGCAACGGCUACCCCGAAGAAGAAAAUUUUGUUUUCGCAUCUCGUUCGAUCCUUGGGAAAAUUUCUUCGAUCAUCCGUGCCGUGUACCUGGUCCGUGUCCUGCGAGUGAUAUAAUAUGUCAAGAGGAGCAUUCGAGACACAACAAUCAACAUCCGGGCCAAUGAGGCUGAUUUAUAAUGGGUCGCAGAUUUUGGUGCUUCGAUUGUUGGUUUUGGCUUCGAUUAGUUGCUGCUGCCAGAAGAGCUGUCCCGCGGAAACCAAAAAAAUGAAAAGGGUGGAAUAAUUUGAUAUGAAUAUAA